ACCAGAUAAACAAGACAUAGAAUCUUACAACACGCCUCGAACAACGCCGAUCCAGCACCAAAGUGAACUCAGUGGCACAAAAAUCAAAUGAGGAACAAGGGCCACCUGACGUUCGGCACUCGACAAAAGAGGCAAGCCAUUACAUACAAAGAAACUAUGACAACUAAGAACUGAUUCAACAACUUAGUUGAAAGUUGACAUCUGAUCAUGUUGG
This 214-nucleotide long non-coding RNA is filed under the name Hordeum vulgare. RNAcentral describes it as "long non-coding RNA (HVUL_LNC001518)". Lineage: Eukaryota; Viridiplantae; Streptophyta; Magnoliopsida; Poales; Poaceae. The record is from RNAcentral.